Molecule: unclassified non-coding RNA, 203 nt
Filed under: Hevea brasiliensis (rubber tree)
Lineage: Eukaryota; Viridiplantae; Streptophyta; Magnoliopsida; Malpighiales; Euphorbiaceae
Source: RNAcentral
CCACCACUAGUUAACUUACAGGAAGACAUCCAAAGGAAUCUCAUGUUGUAAUAGUGAUGCCGACCAGAAAGCAAGGCUGCAUCCCCAAAUGGACUAUCCCUAAUCUCAAGCUUCUGCAAUCUGGGGCAGCCCUCAAGCACAUACUUCAGCGCCAUGUCACUAUCCCCGGCAAAAGCAACAGACAGGGUCCUUACUGUUUUUCC